AGGUCUGUAGCUCAGUUGGCAGA
Molecule: microRNA, 23 nt
Filed under: Mus musculus (house mouse)
Lineage: Eukaryota; Metazoa; Chordata; Mammalia; Rodentia; Muridae
Description: mmu-miR-5106
Source: miRBase by way of RNAcentral